CCACCCCUACUAUCAAACGUAGUGCCUCAUCAGCCAGGGGCAGGUAAGGGAAAGUAGAAGUCAUCCCAUGUCAAUAAUAACCUCAUCAGCCAGGGACAGGUAAGGGAAAGUAGAAGUCAUCCCACGUAACCUCAUCAGCCAGGGACAGGUAAGGGAAAGUAGAAGUCAUCCCACGUCCAUAAUAACCUCAUCAGCCAGGGGCAGGUAAGGGAAAGUAGAAGUCAUCCCACGUCAAUAGUAACCUCAUCAGCCAGGGGCAGGAAAGGGAAAGUAGAAGUCAUCCCACGUCAAUAAUAACCUCAUCAGCCAGGGACAGGUAAGGGAAAGUAGAAGUCAUCCCACGUAACCUCAUCAGCCAGGGACAGGUAAGGGAAAGUAGAAGUCAUCCCACGUCAAUAGUAACCUCAUCAGCCAGGGGCAGGUAAGGGAAAGUAGAAGUCAUCCCACGUCAAUAAUAACCUCAUCAGCCAGGGGCAGGUAAGGGAAAGUAGAAGUCAUCCCACGUCAAUAGUAACCUCAUCAGCCAGGGGCAGGUAAGGGAAAGUAGAAGUCAUCCCACGUCAAUAGUAACCUCAUCAGCCAGGGACAGGUAAGGGAAAGUAGAAGUCAUCCCACGUCAAUAAUAAACCUCAUCAGCCAGGGACAGGUAAGGGAAAGUAGAAGUCAUCCCACGUAACCUCAUCAGCCAGGGGCAGGUAAGGGAAAGUAGAAGUCAUCCCACGUCAAUAAUAACCUCAUCAGCCAGGGACAGGUAAGGGAAUGUAGAAGUCAUCCCACGUCAAUAAUAACCUCAUCAGCCAGGGACAGGUAAGGGAAAGUAGAAGUCAUCCCACGUCAAUAGUAACAGAGAGAAUGUAGUAUUUAACAAUCAAAUCACUUUAUUAGCUCAUUCAUUCUUACAAGCAAAUAAAAUAGCAAGGGUUCUGCAACGUAGACCAGGGGUGUCGAACUCCUUUUACCCCG
Oncorhynchus keta (chum salmon) is the source of this 963-nucleotide long non-coding RNA. RefSeq lists it as uncharacterized. The record is from RefSeq and is a predicted model, not a curated record. NCBI's taxonomy places the organism in Eukaryota, Metazoa, Chordata, Actinopteri, Salmoniformes, Salmonidae. The transcript is spliced from 5 exons.